RNAcentral lists this ribosomal RNA (415 nucleotides) under uncultured prokaryote. RNAcentral's name for it is "bacterial SSU rRNA". It matches the Rfam family "Bacterial small subunit ribosomal RNA", at positions 505 to 918 of the family's 1533-position model. The record is from RNAcentral.
GUGUCAGCAGCCGCGGUAAGACGGAGGGUGCAAGCGUUGUUCGGAAUUACUAGGCGUAAAGAGCGUGUAGGUGGUUAGCUAAGUCGGAUGUGAAAAUUCCGAGCUCAACUCGGAACCUGCAUUCGAAACUGGUUAACUUGAGUGUGGGAGAGGAGAGUGGAAUUCCUAGUGUAGCGGUGAAAUGCGUAGAUAUUAGGAAGAACACCAGUGGCGAAGGCGACUCUCUGGCCUAAAACUGACACUGAGACGCGAAAGCGUGGGGAGCGAACAGGAUUAGAUACCCUGGUAGUCCACGCUGUAAACGAUGGGCAUUAGGUGUAGGAGGUAUCCAAUCCUUCUGUGCCGAAGCUAACGCAUUAAAUGCCCCGCCUGGGGAGUACGGUCGCAAGGCUGAAACUCAAAUGAAUUGACGGGG